ACCUGAGAGCGCAGCCGUUGGGACCCGAAAGAUGGUGAACUAUGCCUGGCGAGGACGAAGCCAGAGGAAACUCUGGUGGAGGUCCGAAGCAGUUCUGACGUGCAAAUCGAUUGUCAGAGCUGGGUAUAGGGGCGAAAGACUAAUCGAACCAUCUAGUAGCUGGUUCCCUCCGAAGUUUCCCUCAGGAUAGCUGGUGUUCGGAUUUUUCGAGUUUCAUCCGGUAAAGCGAAUGAUUAGAGGCCUUGGUGGUGCAAUGCCGUCAACCUAUUCUCAAACUUUAAAUGGGUGAGAGGUAGAGCUUGCUUGAGACGUGAAGCUCUAUGUUGUUAGAAUCAGAAUGCCUAGUGGGCCACUUUUGGUAAGCAGAAC
Molecule: ribosomal RNA, 369 nt
Filed under: Macrobrachium rosenbergii (giant freshwater prawn)
Lineage: Eukaryota; Metazoa; Arthropoda; Malacostraca; Decapoda; Palaemonidae
Description: eukaryotic LSU rRNA
Rfam family: Eukaryotic large subunit ribosomal RNA
Source: RNAcentral